Molecule: ribosomal RNA, 487 nt
Filed under: Uroplatus henkeli
Lineage: Eukaryota; Metazoa; Chordata; Lepidosauria; Squamata; Gekkonidae
Description: partial large subunit ribosomal RNA
Rfam family: Bacterial large subunit ribosomal RNA
Source: RNAcentral
UUUAACGGCCGCGGUAUCCUAACCGUGCAAAGGUAGCGUAAUCACUUGUUCUUUAAAUAGGGACUAGUAUGAACGGCUACAUGAGGGCCCGACUGUCUCCUGCAGCCAAUCAAUGAAACUGAUCUCCCAGUACAAAAGCUGGGCUAAGCACAUAAGACGAGAAGACCCUGUGGAGCUUCAAACAAUUCUUGGCUCAUCCUAUAAAGCCUAACUGACAUAAACUGGAUGAAACCAGAUAGUUUUAAGUUGGGGCGACUGCGGGGAAGAACAAAACCCCCAUGAAAAACAUUAUUUUAAGUCCACACACUGAGAAUAAAAAUUUGAUCCAGUAUAACUGAUUAACGAACCAAGUUACCCCAGGGAUAACAGCGCAAUCUCCUUCAAGAGUCCCUAUCGCCAAGGAGGUUUACGACCUCGAUGUUGGAUCAGGACACCCAGACGGUGUAGCCGCUAUCAAAGGUUCGUUUGUUCAACGAUUAAUAGUCCU